UUUUUAUUUUUUACUUUUUAAAAUAUAAUUAUUUUGUUUAGAGUAAAUAUUUUUUGGGGUAAGACUCCUAGUGACCCUGAUUAGGUGUAUUCUGUUUUUUUCUGCCUACGAAAUUUAGUGUUUACUAGCUAUCUUGGAGCUACUCCAAGGUAGAGCACAAAUGACAGUCACAUACGCAAAGUGAUAAAUAGUAAAAAAUACGUUAUAACUUUAAUCGUGUGGUUAUGAAGGCGUGUUCUACCUUAAAACGGUUCCAACAUAACUAGACCCAAUAUAACAAUAUAAAUUUUUAAAAAAAAUUUAUCCCAAAGUACUAUAAUGUCAUGGGUUCCCUCCCACCAGUCGGCAUCCAUUCUCUAAAAUUUCACUCUUUUGUUUUCGCUAAAACAUUCAUGUAGAGUAUACAAACAACAAAUUUGCAUGAUUUUACUCUCAUGGAAAUAGGUCAUUCAUACCACUAAGGAUCUUGGCGCAAAUUCGAAAUAAAAACAUUUCCUACAUGUCAUAGAGUCUCCCCCAAAGUUAUUCUCAUUCAAUAAUUACCCGACAAAUAAGUUGAUUUAAAUCAGACAAGAAAUGAUGAUUCAUUACAUCUUCAAUAUUCUCUAUUUUGUGAACAUUCCCCCCUAAACCAGUAAGUCAUUCUCGUCCAUUUCUUCCAAUUUCUGAAUUUCAUGAUCUUUUUUCAAGUUCUUCAUUCUGCACAAUAAAUAAUACUUCAAUUAAAAAUUUAUAAUUAUAAUUUAAGAUAGAAUAAAAUUAAAGCAAGUAUAAUAAAACUGAAUUGUGGUUAUAGACUUAGCAAUCACCUAAAUUAUCAACCACCCAAAAAAGUUAAUUAAACUUUGAUAUCAUUCUACGUUAUUGAGCUUCAACUAGUCACUAUCUUUGUAUUCAUCUUCUACAUAAAUGACAAAACCCAUUCAUAAAAAAUAAUCACAAAUCAAUAACAAUAAAUAAAUGAUUUAAUGAAGUCUACGGUUCAUCAAUCACUUGUAGUAGCAAGCGACUAGCAAGCAAAAAUGGAAGAUACAAUCUGAACCAUUAAUUCAGCAGAUAAUAACACUAAAUCAAGAACACUAAGUGAAGAUUACGGCUCAUUAGAUCCAUUGGCAGUUUACACAAUUGAUACUUGACCAAGAGUGUAGAAAGCCUUCUUUCUCUCUCAAUUUUGCCUUUUGUGUGUGUGUGCAUGUGUGUAGAUUGUGAAGAUUUGGAGCUGUAAAUUUGCAGCAAGUUGCAAAGGCUUGGAUCAAAGAAGCAGCUACCAGUAAAAGCUUCAUAGCAGGCUCAGGGAUGGCCAAUCAAGGUAUUGAAUACACAUCUCUCUCUCAAGCGUGUGUUUGAAAGGAUUUGCAAGAUCAUGGGGUUUUGAAUGAAAAUCAUUUCAGCAGUGAACGGCUUGGUUUCUACUUAGGGGUGGGCAAAAUUGGGUUCGGAUCAAUCCGAUUAGGUUCUAGGUUGUUCUGGUUAGGUAAAAAUUAAUCCGAAUGAAAUCCGAACUUAUAACCCGAUCCGAUCUGAUAUAUAUUCAGGUCGGAUUAAAUCGGGUCAAAAAAUCGGAUUGAAUUCGGAUGAGUUCGGGUUCGGAUAAGAGACCGGCCAAAGUCUUCAAAUGGGCAAAGCUUCAAUUUCAAAACUCAAAAGUCUCAAAACUCAAAAGGGGUCGGGUUGGAGGCUUAGAGCAAAAUCAGGUAUUCAGGUUACACUUGCAGUUGCUGUCAAGUUGGAGGCUUGGUGCAGUAGAUCAAUGGCACUUGGGAGCAGAUUGGUGGUCGACUGGCCGCGGACGCACAACAGCAAAUUGCAGACCCGUAACAAAUCGAGAUCGAGCAUGAAGAGGGGUCUUUCUUCUAGUCUAGAAUGAGAAGUUGCUGGUGCUUAGAGAUGAGAAGUUCAGCGAGGGAGAUGGUUGUGGGUUCGUGGCUGUGGCUGUCGGCGGCGUGAUGUGAGGGUAACUAGGUGAAGCCGUGAAGCUGUGUUGGGUCUUGUUCUCUUGGGUGUGUACUGUGUUGUGUGUGUGUUUUGUGUAAUACGUAUGUGAUCUGGGUUCUUUUGCUUCUUUGUCCAUGAUUUUUGUGUUUGUGAUGUGUAUGUGACUGUGUUUUGUGAAUCUGUCUGUGAUUUGUGUCAUUAUGUGUGUGGCUUGCGUGGGUUAGGUUUUUUUUUUUUUUUUUUAAAGUAACCCGAUCAGGUUUUCGGAUUGGAUCGGGUCAUAACCCGAUCGGGUUUAAAAGAUUUCAUCCGAUCAGAUAUUAUUAACAACCCGAUCCUAUCUAAACCAAAAACUUUUUGGGUCGGUUCAGGUCGGAUCAGGUAUUUUACCCACUCUUAUUUCUACUUCAAUAUGGUAUGUACUUACAAACAAGUAAAUUAAUAAGGGAAAUUAUCCCUCAAAGCAAUGAUUAUGAUAGUUCUAGAAGCUCAAAGUAAAAUAAAAAGGUACAAGUGUAAGAGUGAUGCUAUGCUUUCUCAGUUGAGAUAAUUUAUAUUGCAACGGAUGUGUCACCAGCAAAAAAAAUUCUUUAUUUGAAUUAGAAAUGAUAAAAAUUAAUAAUUAACUGUCACUCCAGCCAAUUAAAUAGUGAUGCAUCAUUUAUCAUAUCAGUAUCCCAACUAAGUAAGGAUAACAUUACUAUAAAUAGUGAUAUAUCAUUUAUCAUAUCAGUAUCCCAACUAAAUGCAAAGCACCUAAAUGAAUCCUCUCACACAAUGUAAGGCUUUAUAUAGCCCAUUAUGAGAUCUAGAAAGAUCUUUGUUUGUUAGCUUGAUUUUAGGUUGUUAUUUUCCUGCCAAUACCAACGACCUUAACCAUGUUUGACUGGUUUAGUGCUUUAUUACUAAAUUAAGCUUCUCACAAUGACAUUUUUUUUAUGGAGGAUGAGAAAAUGAAUGCAACACAUAACAACCGAUAUUCUCGUUUGCUUAUCAAUCCAGAUUUGAGAUAACACUUUCAGCACUAAAUCUGAGCACCAAAUGACUUUCAAAAUAAUAACAUAUUGUAAGGAGCUUUGUAAGAUCUUAAUCGUAGAUUAAACAAUGGAUAUCUUAGUAUUACAAAAUUUACUAAAAUUUGGAUGUUGACAAGCUGACUCUGCCUUUAUCCCCAAUAAAAUGGUGUUGUGUUUUACAAUUUAUUUACCAACUUUCAUCUCUCUAUCUUUAAUUUCUAAGUGAUGAUACAGCCACAAACUCUUGUACAAAUUUAUCUUGUACAAAUUAAUUUGGCAUUAAUUCAUUGGUUGAAUGAAAAUACAAAAUAAUAAAAAUAAAUCAUGUGGACCAAGAGAUAUUU
Molecule: long non-coding RNA, 3295 nt
Filed under: Citrus x clementina
Lineage: Eukaryota; Viridiplantae; Streptophyta; Magnoliopsida; Sapindales; Rutaceae
Description: Citrus clementina (C. clementina) long non-coding RNA (CCLE_LNC006523)
Source: RNAcentral